RNAcentral lists this ribosomal RNA (496 nucleotides) under uncultured bacterium. RNAcentral describes it as "partial 16S ribosomal RNA". It matches the Rfam family "Bacterial small subunit ribosomal RNA", at positions 29 to 507 of the family's 1533-position model. The record is from RNAcentral.
AUGAACGCUGGCGACGUGCCUAAUACAUGCAAGUCGAGCGAACAGACGAGGAGCUUGCUCCUCUGACGUUAGCGGCGGACGGGUGAGUAACACGUGGAUAACCUACCUAUAAGACUGGGAUAACUUCGGGAAACCGGAGCUAAUACCGGAUAAUAUAUUGAACCGCAUGGUUCAAUAGUGAAAGACGGUUUUGCUGUCACUUAUAGAUGGAUCCGCGCCGCAUUAGCUAGUUGGUAAGGUAACGGCUUACCAAGGCAACGAUGCGUAGCCGACCUGAGAGGGUGAUCGGCCACACUGGAACUGAGACACGGUCCAGACUCCUACGGGAGGCAGCAGUAGGGAAUCUUCCGCAAUGGGCGAAAGCUUGACGGAGCAACGCCGCGUGAGUGAUGAAGGUCUUCGGAUCGUAAAACUCUGUUAUUAGGGAAGAACAAAUGUGUAAGUAACUAUGCACGUCUUGACGGUACCUAAUCAGAAAGCCACGGCUAACUACGUG